GGGCCCAUAGCUCAGCAUGGUCAGAGCGGCUGGCUCUUAACCAGUAGGUCGAGGGUCCAAAGGCUUUUGUAGUACA
This 76-nucleotide transfer RNA is filed under the name Candidatus Micrarchaeum sp. RNAcentral describes it as "tRNA-Lys". The stretch from base 1 to 59 matches the Rfam family "tRNA". Rfam says of the family: Transfer RNA (tRNA) molecules are approximately 80 nucleotides in length. Their secondary structure includes four short double-helical elements and three loops (D, anti-codon, and T loops). Further hydrogen bonds mediate the characteristic L-shaped molecular structure. tRNAs have two regions of fundamental functional importance: the anti-codon, which is responsible for specific mRNA codon recognition, and the 3' end, to which the tRNAs corresponding amino acid is attached (by aminoacyl-tRNA synthetases). tRNAs cope with the degeneracy of the genetic code in two manners: having more than one tRNA (with a specific anti-codon) for a particular amino acid; and 'wobble' base-pairing, i.e. permitting non-standard base-pairing at the 3rd anti-codon position. Lineage: Archaea; Nanobdellati; Microcaldota; Candidatus Micrarchaeia; Candidatus Micrarchaeales; Candidatus Micrarchaeaceae. The record is from RNAcentral.